AUGAAGAAGCCAUCGACGCUUCUCCGAUCGCUCUCUACACGCCUCUCUGCGCGGCUCGCGCCGUCGCCGGCGGUGGCCCCAUGGCCGCCGGUGCGCUCCGCCUACGACCGCUGGCUGGCCGCCGAGCUCGACGAGCUCCGCGCCGACCCGAUCGCCCCGUGCACCAGCGCCGCCUGGCUCGGCCGCGCCAUCGGUCUCGCCGCCGCCGCGCAGAGACGGCUCGUCGCGUCGGCGACGCCGGCCCCGCCAGCCGGCAUUGACCGCAAGACGAUCGACGAGUGCGUGGAGGACACGGCGGAGCUGCUUGACGCGUGCGCCGGGCUCAGGAACCGCCUCGACCUGAUCAGGAGCUACGCCUCGUCCAUGCGCAUCGCGCUGCACUGGCUCGAAGGCCGCGGCGGAGGGGCGACAGCGCGGCGCCGCGCGGCCGCGGCGUUCGCCGAGUGCGAGGCCGUGGAGCGGCGGUGCGGGGCGGAGCUCGCCAAGUGCGGGUCCAACCUGCGCAAGCUCGGCGAGAGGGCGCUUCACGCCAGGCACCCUUCCGGCGGCAGAGCGCAGUGCGAGGAGUCCCUGGCCGGCGCGCGCGCGACGGCGCUCCUUGCCGUGGGAGCCCUCGGCGUUGCGCUGGCGUUCCGGUCGCGCCGUGCCGUUCCCGGCAUCGCGCACGCCGGCGGCGGCAAGGGCGGAGCGGUGCCCUGGGAGUGCGCGCUCCAGGAGGUGCAGAAGCACGUCAAGGACGAGUACGAGCGCCGCAGGAAGGAGGGUGUGCCGUGCAUGGCCGAGCUCGACGCCGCGGCCGCCGACGGCCGGACGGUGAAAAGCGCGCUGACCACGGGCGGCCGGCACCUGUCGGAGACCGCGGUUGCGGCGGCGAAGAGGAGGUGCGACGAGCUGGAGGACAAGGUGUCUGUGCUCGAGGAAACCAUCGGCGAGCUGCAUAGGGAGCUCAUAAGCGUUAGGAUGGUGCUCUUGGAGUGGUCACAGAGUGCAAGAGGACAUGAGGUUCUCAGGUUGUGA
Molecule: ribosomal RNA, 1017 nt
Filed under: Triticum aestivum (bread wheat)
Lineage: Eukaryota; Viridiplantae; Streptophyta; Magnoliopsida; Poales; Poaceae
Description: partial small subunit ribosomal RNA
Source: RNAcentral